Molecule: ribosomal RNA, 164 nt
Filed under: Polylepis tomentella subsp. tomentella
Lineage: Eukaryota; Viridiplantae; Streptophyta; Magnoliopsida; Rosales; Rosaceae
Description: 5.8S ribosomal RNA
Rfam family: 5.8S ribosomal RNA
About the family: 5.8S ribosomal RNA (5.8S rRNA) is a component of the large subunit of the eukaryotic ribosome. It is transcribed by RNA polymerase I as part of the 45S precursor that also contains 18S and 28S rRNA.
Source: RNAcentral
UAAACGACUCUCGGCAACGGAUAUCUCGGCUCUCGCAUCGAUGAGGAACGUAGCGAAAUGCGAUACUUGGUGUGAAUUGCAGAAUCCCGUGAACCAUCGAGUCUUUGAACGCAAGUUGCGCCCGAAGCCUUCAGGCCGAGGGCACGUCUGCCUGGGCGUCACAC